UCCGUAGUAGUGAACUGGUAUCACUUCUGCUUGCCAAGCAGACAGAGCGGGUUCGAUUCCCGUCUACGGGAC
Molecule: transfer RNA, 72 nt
Filed under: Streptomyces phage TunaTartare
Lineage: Duplodnaviria; Heunggongvirae; Uroviricota; Caudoviricetes; Stanwilliamsviridae
Description: tRNA-Gly
Rfam family: tRNA
About the family: Transfer RNA (tRNA) molecules are approximately 80 nucleotides in length. Their secondary structure includes four short double-helical elements and three loops (D, anti-codon, and T loops).
Source: RNAcentral